Molecule: ribosomal RNA, 484 nt
Filed under: uncultured bacterium
Lineage: Bacteria
Description: partial 16S ribosomal RNA
Rfam family: Bacterial small subunit ribosomal RNA
Source: RNAcentral
AUUGAACGCUGGCGGCAUGCUUUACACAUGCAAGUCGAACGGCAGCGCGGUCUUCGCUUUGGCGUCCGGUGGGCGACUGGUGGGUAAUACAUCGGUACGUGCCCAUCUGUUGUUUCUUGCUCGGCGACGGACGGAUUCAUACCCCAUUCGACCAUACGGUGUACGCGUGAGAGCUUCGGAUCUUCCGCUCUUGCGCGGUCCGAUGACGGAUUAGCUAGUUGGUGGGUUAAAGGGCUAACAAGGCGACGAUCCGUAGCUGGUCUGAGAGGAUGAGCAGACACAAUGGAAGUGAGACACGGUCCAGACUCCUACGGGAGGCAGAAGUGGGGAAUAGUGGACAAUGGGCGAAAGCCUGAUCCAGCAAUACCGCGUGGGUGAAGAAGGCCUUCGGGUUGUAAAGCCCUUUUGUUGGGAAAGAAAAGCAGCAGGUUAAUACCCCGCUGUUCUGACGGUACCCAAAGAAUAAGCACCGGCUAACUUCGUG